AGCCUGGGGCAAGUUCUGGAGCAAGCUGAGCCUCAGCUGCACUGUGGCUUCCCAACGCUUUUGUCUGCUUCUACUCUGACAAUCUGAAAUAGCUCCAGAAUGGCAAAACAUUCCGAAAAGAGAAUGCUGAAGUGAAAGCGUCUGAUUUCUUUGAUGAAAAAUUCAGCGCCGAGUCCUCAAUAAUGCUGGUACUUAUUUUGAAACAGUAAGCUCCUGCAAACCGACUGCUUUCUUGGCUCAUCUAGCCUGGCCAGA
This is a long non-coding RNA of Nothoprocta perdicaria, 255 nucleotides long. RefSeq lists it as uncharacterized. The record is from RefSeq and is a predicted model, not a curated record. The transcript is spliced from 2 exons. NCBI's taxonomy places the organism in Eukaryota, Metazoa, Chordata, Aves, Tinamiformes, Tinamidae.